RNAcentral lists this non-coding RNA (496 nucleotides) under Ornithorhynchus anatinus (platypus). RNAcentral describes it as "Eukaryotic small subunit ribosomal RNA". It matches the Rfam family "Eukaryotic small subunit ribosomal RNA", at positions 620 to 1113 of the family's 1831-position model. The record is from Rfam by way of RNAcentral. Lineage: Eukaryota; Metazoa; Chordata; Mammalia; Monotremata; Ornithorhynchidae.
UAAAAAGCUCAUAGUUGGAUGUUGGGAGUGGGCUGGUGGUCCACUGUGAGGCGAGCCACUGCCUGAUCCCGCCCUUGCCUGCUCAGUGCCCCCUCGAUGCUCUUAGCUGACUGUCCCACGGGGCUCGAAGUGUUUACUUUGAAAAAAUUAGAGUCUUCAAAGCAGGCCCGGUCACCUGGAUACUCCAUCUAGGAAGGAUGGAAAAGGACCCAGGUCCCAAUUUUGUUGGUUUUCGGAACUGGGGACAUGAUUAAGAGGGAUGGCUGCGGCCAUUUGUAUUGUACCGCUAGAGGUGAAAUUCUUGGACUGGUGCAAGACAGACCAGAACGAAAGCAAUUGCCAAGAACCUUUUCAUUAAUCAAGAAUGGAAGUUGGAGGUUCAAAGACCAUCAGGUACCAUCAUAUUUCUGACCAUAAAUGAUGCUGACUGUCAAUCCAGCGGCGUUAAUUCUGUGACCUACCAGGUAGCCUUCCGAGAAACCAAGAUCUUUGAGUU